RNAcentral lists this ribosomal RNA (253 nucleotides) under uncultured bacterium. RNAcentral's name for it is "partial 16S ribosomal RNA". It matches the Rfam family "Bacterial small subunit ribosomal RNA", at positions 524 to 776 of the family's 1533-position model. The record is from RNAcentral.
UACGAAGGGGGCUAGCGUUGUUCGGAAUCACUGGGCGUAAAGCGCACGUAGGCGGAUUGUUAAGUCGGGGGUGAAAUCCUGAGGCUCAACCUCGGAACUGCCUUCGAUACUGCGGGUCUCGAGUCCGGGAGAGGUGAGUGGAAUUCCUAGUGUAGAGGUGAAAUUCGUAGAUAUUAGGAAGAACACCAGUGGCGAAGGCGGCUCACUGGCCCGGUACUGACGCUGAGGCGCGAAAGCGUGGGGAGCAAACAGG